UUUUUUUCUUUAGCAGAUGGUAUAAAGAGAAAAAGGAAGAAGUGGCAGAGACGGAGGUUGAUCCUGAACGAGAUCAGCGGAUGCUGCCACCAGAAGUUUCGUGCUUCUUGGGCUACUCACUGUGGGGCUAUAACGUAAUAUGUGAUGGUAUAUUACGUUUGAUGGUGAACUAAUUAUUUGUGUUGAGUAUUUCUAAUACCGUUGAAUUACAGUUCCAGGUCUGAGAUGUACGCCUUAUAAUGGACCGCAAUUCAAGUCAUUCCAAGAGAGUUGGUUAUAUUGAAUUUUUUGAUGCAAUGCCAGUCCCUAUGGCAAUAGCACUCUCUAGCCAGCCUCUUCUUGGUUAGCCAGUAAUGGUUAAACCAUCAGAAGCUGAAAAAAAUCUGGUUCAGUCUACUACAGCCACAGCUGGGGCUGUAGGUGGGCUCAUAGGCCCCUAUUUGAGGGGAGCUAGAAGAGUAUGUUCCUUUCUAUUGAGGUAAGAAACAUCUUCUAUUCCUUUCUUAUGCUUUUUCUUAUACAUGGCUGUGUUGCUGCAACAUUGUGUCCUUGCUGCCCAGGUGAAGAAACCACACUAGUUGUCUUACCCAUGUGCUGCCACUGUCCAUGUGACAUGACCAUAAAGAAAGGAUUGGUUUUCCCUCAGCUGAUGAU
Non-coding RNA from Camellia sinensis, 654 nucleotides. NCBI's taxonomy places the organism in Eukaryota, Viridiplantae, Streptophyta, Magnoliopsida, Ericales, Theaceae. The record is from RefSeq and is a predicted model, not a curated record.